CAACCGCGAACUUUUAACCUUUGACGAUUGACUCAUGUUGCCUCGGCGGGUUCUCUCGCCAGAGGAUACAUCAAAACUCCUGUUUUAACGGUGUUGUCUGAGCUACAAGCAACGAAUCAAAACUUUCAACAACGGAUCUCUUGGUUCUGGCAUCGAUGAAGAACGCAGCGAAAUGCGAUAAGUAGUGUGAAUUGCAGAAUUCAGUGAAUCAUCGAAUCUUUGAACGCACAUUGCGCCCCUUGGUAUCCCGAGGGGCAUGCCUGUUCGAGCGUCAUUUCACCACUCAAGCCUGGCUUGGUGUUGGGCGACGUCCCCUUCAGGGACGCGCCUCGAAACGCUCGGCGGCGUGGCACCGGCUUUAAGCGUAGCAGAAUCUUUCGCUUCAAAAGUUGGGGCCCCGUCUGCCGGAAGACCUACUCGCAAGGUUGACCUCGGAUCAGGCAGGGAUACCCGCUGAACUUAAGCAUAUCAAUAAGCGGAGGAAAAGAAACCAACAGGGAUUGCCUCAGUAACGGCGAGUGAAGCGGCAACAGCUCAAAUUUGAAAUCUGGCUCUUUCAGGGUCCGAGUUGUAAUUUGUAGAGGAUGCUUCGGCGUGGGCUCCGGUCUAAGUUCCUUGGAACAGGACGUCAUAGAGGGUGAGAAUCCCGUAUGUGAUCGGUUGCCCUUG
Molecule: unclassified non-coding RNA, 669 nt
Filed under: uncultured fungus
Lineage: Eukaryota; Fungi
Description: partial contains ITS1, 5.8S rRNA and ITS2
Rfam family: Eukaryotic large subunit ribosomal RNA (bases 427-669)
Source: RNAcentral